CCCCACAGUGCAUUCAAACUGGAUCUUGUUAUGAAAUUUCAAAAGUUCACAACAUUAUGCGUGUUGGAGGGAAAAGAAAUUGAAAGAAACUUUUAUAUGGCAGGUAUAGGUCCAAGCAUAUGAGUUCAUACAGAGGUUAGCUGCUGAAUUUAAGUAAUAUUUGUACUUGCGGCGCGGUCAUUUCACUUCUUUAGCAUGUAUACUUUCUCCUUUUUUAUGGACAUCUCUUUAGCUUACGUACAUGUUUCUUUUAUAAUAAGGAAAAAAACUCAAUCCACGGAGAGUAAGACAACCCCGGGCAUUGUAUUUCAGAAGAAGACAUUCUCACAC
This 330-nucleotide long non-coding RNA is filed under the name Sorghum bicolor (sorghum). RNAcentral describes it as "long non-coding RNA (SBIC_LNC016739)". Lineage: Eukaryota; Viridiplantae; Streptophyta; Magnoliopsida; Poales; Poaceae. The record is from RNAcentral.